Molecule: long non-coding RNA, 595 nt
Filed under: Rosa chinensis
Lineage: Eukaryota; Viridiplantae; Streptophyta; Magnoliopsida; Rosales; Rosaceae
Description: sRNA RchiOBHm_Chr1g0345141
Source: RNAcentral
CUCUGUUAGGUGAUUUACAUCAUCCUAGUCUGGGUUGAAGCCUCCAAUUCGAUUUAGAUUAAACACCUAACUUCUGUUGCUCAAAUUGGAUUGUGUGAGGUUUGGAGAAUCUGAGUUUUUGGGUUUGAAGAGGAGAGCCUGGAGCUGAGGUUUCGAUUGAGUCACCCUUGAAGAAGAAAUGGGAUUCGAAAGGUUGGUGGUGAUGGAGCACGACUAUGUUGAAUCGAGUCACAGUUUGGAAAAGAAGAAAUGGUAAGGUUCUGGGUUUUGAUUAUGCUGUUGUGAAACUAUGGUGGUUGUAAUAUGUUGUUUGAUCGAUGAAUGAGUGUGGCUAAUGUGUGAAUUAUUAGUACCAGAUAUGUGACUCGAUUAAGUUUUGGCAUUGUGAUUCACGGUUAAAAUUUUAAAGGUGGGUAAUAAGAGUAAUUUAAGUGUGAGUUGAUGGUAAUUACUAAGUCACCGGGGUUUUGGCCCUUGUAGUGUAAGGUGCGAAGUAAAUGGCUCAGUUAUGUGCAUUUUGACGAGAUUGGUAAAUAAGAAUGUACCACUCCUGACAAGUAAAUUAGUGUGGUGAAUGGUAUUAUUGAGAAUGGGU